GGGCCUGGACUGCUUCCUAGACAGCUCUCUGGCUUGCUCCCUCCUUCACACUUUGACCUCAUGGCACCAAUGGUUGUGCCACCUGACACUCUACCCUACUGAGGUGCGAGGGCCAUCCUGUGCCACCAGUCAAUUGAUGGUGGAUGACCUUCUGACCCCGUGCUCGCCAGGUGACCCGGCUGCCAUAGAAUUGACCUGGAUGGAUGUGCCUAGCGACAAGCUGCUGUAGCCCAUCUGCAUGUCCGACAUGCUGCCCUCACUAUAUACCACGCAACCCACAGUCAACAUGGAGGUCUUGUUCAAGGUCAGGAAGUUCACAGAGGACUUAGAACAGGA
Molecule: long non-coding RNA, 336 nt
Organism: Salvelinus namaycush (lake trout)
Lineage: Eukaryota; Metazoa; Chordata; Actinopteri; Salmoniformes; Salmonidae
Exons: 3
Source: RefSeq, a predicted model, not a curated record